RNAcentral lists this ribosomal RNA (420 nucleotides) under uncultured bacterium. RNAcentral's name for it is "partial 16S ribosomal RNA". It matches the Rfam family "Bacterial small subunit ribosomal RNA", at positions 361 to 773 of the family's 1533-position model. The record is from RNAcentral.
AUUCUGGACAAUGGGGGCAACCCGUAUCCAGCCAUCCCGGGGUGGCGAGGAAGGCCUUCGGGGCGAAAAGGCCUUUUGGCAGGGAAGGAAAGGCGCAGGCUAAUACCCUGUGCGCCUGACGGUACCUCCAGAAGAAGCACCGGCUAACUACGUACCGGCAGCCGCGGUAAUACGUAGGGUGCAAGCGUUAAGCGGAAUUACUGGGCGUAAACCGUGAGUCGGCGGUUUGGCAAGAAAGGUGUGAAAUCCCAGAUCUUAACUUUGGAACUGCACUUUUAACUGCCAGGCUAGAGUAUGUCAGAGGGGGGUAGAAUUCCGCGUGUAGCAGUGAAAUGCGUAGAGAUGCGGAGGAAUACCGAUGGCGAAGGCAGCCCCCUGGGAUAAUACUGACGCUCAGGCACGAAAGCGUGGGGAGCAAAC